UGAAAGGGGCCGAGGAGGUGGAGCAUACAGAGACAAUCUCCAAGUACCGAGACAAGGCUGAAGGGCAGAGGCCGAGGAACUUCGUAAGACCGGUGUCAAUGUGCUUCUCAUCAAGAUAGCCGAAAGUGAAGGACUUCGGGUCAUGCAAGAGUGCAUAACCAAGGAACGAAGUAGGCAGUACGCGGUGUUGUACCUUUGCUACUCAGCGGAGUAGGCGGCAAGGUUGAUGGAGAAGACGGUACAAUCCCAGAGGCGACCAAACCUAUGAGAGAAUUACUCCAAGUUAGGGUGAAAACUUCCUGCAUUCUAGAAGUUCGAUGGCAUUGAGAAGGUGAAUCACAGUAGCUAACUCAACGCAAGGAGUGCAAACACUUCAAGUGCUUCAGAAGUGUGAGCAAAGAGUAGGCGAAGGCCAGUAACCAGCUCGAUGCAUGAAGUACAACCUCGAGGAGGCGGGCGAAGUCAAGUAACCUUUGCCUUCUCAACUCUUAAGAGAAUGGGUGAAACCGAGUACCCCAAUUCUCUUAUCUAUCCAGCAGAGGAGCUCUGCACAAGUUCAAAAACCUUCGAAGAUAAUGAAAGACAAUAGUUGUCAAAUCAUCACCAAUGGUGAUCAGUCCUACUGAGAGUAGAUUGUCCGCUUCAUUUCCCAAUGAAAUGCCAAUCGAAAGCGGAAGUGAUGCGAACCUACUUGGAUGUGACAACUAAGUGAAAGAAGAGUCAAUGAGCAAAUUUUGUGGAGGAAGGACCCAAAACUUCAGAAGUUUACGAGACGAUG
Molecule: long non-coding RNA, 778 nt
Filed under: Musa acuminata (dwarf banana)
Lineage: Eukaryota; Viridiplantae; Streptophyta; Magnoliopsida; Zingiberales; Musaceae
Description: long non-coding RNA (MACU_LNC010377)
Source: RNAcentral